This 1467-nucleotide ribosomal RNA is filed under the name uncultured bacterium. RNAcentral's name for it is "bacterial SSU rRNA". It matches the Rfam family "Bacterial small subunit ribosomal RNA". The record is from RNAcentral.
GACGAACGCUGGCGGCGUGCCUAACACAUGCAAGUCGAGCGGUCUUAUAGCGAGAAGUGACUUGUCACUUCAUGCUAUAAGAUAGCGGCGGACGGGUGAGUAACACGUGGGUAACCUGCCUUAUACAAAGGGAUAACACUGGGAAACCGGUGCUAAUACCGUAUAACAUAUAUCAUGGGCAUCUGAGAUAUAUCAAAGGCAUAUCGUAAAGGUAAGCCGGUAUAAGAUGGGCCCGCGUCCGAUUAGCUAGUUGGUGGGGUAAAAGCUUACCAAGGCAACGAUCGGUAGCCGGACUGAGAGGUUGACCGGCCACAUUGGGACUGAGACACGGCCCAGACUCCUACGGGAGGCAGCAGUGGGGAAUAUUGCGCAAUGGGGGGAACCCUGACGCAGCGACGCCGCGUGAAGGAAGAAGGUCUUCGGAUUGUAAACUUCUUUGACUGGGGACGAAGAAAGUGACGGUACCCAGAUAACAAGCCACGGCUAACUACGUGCCAGCAGCCGCGGUAAUACGUAGGUGGCAAGCGUUGUCCGGAAUUACUGGGUGUAAAGGGCGUGUAGGCGGGGAUGCAAGUCAGGUGUGAAAAACCAUGGCUCAACUGUGGUCUUGCAUCUGAAACUGUAUUUCUUGAGUACUGGAGAGGGAAGUGGAAUUCCUAGUGUAGCGGUGAAAUGCGUAGAGAUUAGGAGGAACACCAGUGGCGAAGGCGGCUUCCUGGCCAGAGACUGACGCUGAGGCGCGAAAGCGUGGGGAGCAAACAGGAUUAGAUACCCUGGUAGUCCACGCCGUAAACGAUGGAUACUAGGUGUAGGUGGUAACAAGCCAUCUGUGCCGGAGCAAACGCAAUAAGUAUCCCACCUGGGGAGUACGGCCGCAAGGCUGAAACUCAAAGGAAUUGACGGGGGCCCGCACAAGCAGUGGAGUAUGUGGUUUAAUUCGAAGCAACGCGAAGAACCUUACCAGGGCUUGACAUCCCUCGAAUUACGUAGAAAUACGUAAGUCCUACGGGACGAGGAGACAGGUGGUGCAUGGUUGUCGUCAGCUCGUGUCGUGAGAUGUUGGGUUAAGUCCCGCAACGAGCGCAACCCCUGUUGUUAGUUGCCAUCAAGUAAAGUUGGGCACUCUAACGAGACUGCCGGUGAGAAAUCGGAGGAAGGUGGGGACGACGUCAAAUCAUCAUGCCCCUUAUGUCCUGGGCAACACACGUACUACAAUGGCUACAACAGAGGGAAGCGAAGCUGUGAAGCGGAGCGAAUCCCAGAAAAGUAGUCCCAGUUCGGAUUGUGGGCUGCAACUCGCCCACAUGAAGCAGGAAUUGCUAGUAAUGGCAGGUCAGCACACUGCGGUGAAUACGUUCCCGGGCCUUGUACACACCGCCCGUCACACCACGAAAGUUUGCAACACCCGAAGCCGGUGGCCUAACCUUUUGGAAGGAGCCGUCGAAGGUGGGGCAGAUGAUUGGGGUG